CCUACGGGUGGCUGCAGUGGGGAAUAUUGCACAAUGGGCGCAAGCCUGAUGCAGCCAUGCCGCGUGUGUGAAGAAGGCCUUCGGGUUGUAAAGCACUUUCAGCGGGGAGGAAGGCGUUAAGGUUAAAAACCUUGGCGAUUGACGUUACCCGCAGAAGAAGCACCGGCUAACUCCGUGCCAGCAGCCGCGGUAAUACGGAGGGUGCAAGCGUUAAUCGGAAUUACUGGGCGUAAAGCGCACGCAGGCGGUCUGUCAAGUCGGAUGUGAAAUCCCCGGGCUCAACCUGGGAACUGCAUUCGAAACUGGCAGGCUAGAGUCUUGUAGAGGGGGGUAGAAUUCCAGGUGUAGCGGUGAAAUGCGUAGAGAUCUGGAGGAAUACCGGUGGCGAAGGCGGCCCCCUGGACAAAGACUGACGCUCAGGUGCGAAAGCGUGGGGAGCAAACAGGAUUAGAUACCCGAGUAGUC
RNAcentral lists this ribosomal RNA (465 nucleotides) under uncultured Klebsiella sp. RNAcentral's name for it is "bacterial SSU rRNA". It matches the Rfam family "Bacterial small subunit ribosomal RNA", at positions 338 to 795 of the family's 1533-position model. Lineage: Bacteria; Pseudomonadati; Pseudomonadota; Gammaproteobacteria; Enterobacterales; Enterobacteriaceae. The record is from RNAcentral.